This 440-nucleotide ribosomal RNA is filed under the name uncultured bacterium. Its description in RNAcentral is "partial 16S ribosomal RNA". It matches the Rfam family "Bacterial small subunit ribosomal RNA", at positions 338 to 795 of the family's 1533-position model. The record is from RNAcentral.
CCUACGGGAGACAGCAGUGGGGGAUAUUGCACAAUGGGGGAAACCCUGAUGCAGCUACGCCGCGUGUGGGAAGACGGUCUUCUGGAUUGUAAACCACUGUCCCCAGGGACGAAAAUGACGGUACCUGGGGAGGAAGCUCCGGCUAACUACGUGCCAGCAGCCGCGGUAAUACGUAGGGAGCAAGCGUUGUCCGGAAUUACUGGGUGUAAAGGGAGCGUAGGCGGGGAUGCAAGUUGGGUGUCAAAACUACCGGCUCAACCGAUAGUCGCACUCAAAACUGCAACUCUUGAGUGAAGUAGAGGCAAGCGGAAUGCCUAGUGUAGCGGUGAAAUGCGUAGAUAUUAGGAGGAACACCAGUGGCGAAGGCGGCCUGCUGGGCUUUUACUGACGCUGAGGCUCGAAAGUGUGGGGAGCAAACAGGAUUAGAUACCCCUGUAGUC